This 450-nucleotide ribosomal RNA is filed under the name uncultured Glomeromycotina. Its description in RNAcentral is "SSU rRNA". It matches the Rfam family "Eukaryotic small subunit ribosomal RNA", at positions 569 to 1023 of the family's 1831-position model. Lineage: Eukaryota; Fungi; Glomeromycota. The record is from RNAcentral.
AGCAGCCGCGGUAAUUCCAGCUCCAAUAGCGUAUAUUAAAGUUGUUGCAGUUAAAAAGCUCGUAGUUGAAUUUCGGGGUUAGUAAGUUGGUCGUGCCACUGGUAUGCACUGGCUUUACUGAUUCCUCCUUCUUGAAGAACUGUAAUGCUAUUAAUUUAGUGUUGCAGGGAAACAGGACUGUUACUUUGAAAAAAUUAGAGUGUUUAAAGCAGGCUAACGCUUGAAUACAUUAGCAUGGAAUAAUGAAAUAGGACGUUUGAUCCUAUUUUGUUGGUUUCUAGGAUUGACGUAAUGAUUAAUAGGGAUAGUUGGGGGCAUUAGUAUUCAAUUGUCAGAGGUGAAAUUCUUGGAUUUAUUGAAGACUAACUACUGCGAAAGCAUUUGCCAAGGAUGUUUUCAUUAAUCAAGAACGAAAGUUAGGGGAUCGAAGACGAUCAGAUACCGUCGUAG